RNAcentral lists this ribosomal RNA (877 nucleotides) under uncultured eukaryote. RNAcentral's name for it is "SSU rRNA". It matches the Rfam family "Eukaryotic small subunit ribosomal RNA", at positions 636 to 1469 of the family's 1831-position model. The record is from RNAcentral.
CGGUGUUCAACUGGCGUGUCCGCGGGACGUCCUGCCGGUGGGCUUAGCCCGCAAGGGCGGCCCAACUUCAAAUCCCAUCGCGGUGCUCUUCACUGAGUGUCGAGGUGGGCCGGCACGUUUACUUUGAACAAAUUAGAGUGCUUAAAGCAGGCUAAAACUUCGCCUGAAUACUGUGUGCAUGGAAUAAUGGAAUAGGACCUCGGUUCUAUUUUGUUGGUUUUCGGAACCCCGAGGUAAUGAUUAAUAGGAACGGAUGGGGGCAUUCGUAUUGCGACGUUAGAGGUGAAAUUCUUGGAUCGUCGCAAGACGGACAGAAGCGAAAGCAUUUGCCAAAAACGCUUUCAUUGAUCAAGAACGAAAGUUAGAGGUUCGAAGGCGAUCAGAUACCGCCCUAGUUCUAACCAUAAACGAUGCCAGCUAGCGAUCCGUCGACGUUCCUCCGAUGACUCGACGGGCAGCUUCCGGGAAACCAAAGCUUUUGGGUUCCGGGGGAAGUAUGGUUGCAAAGCUGAAACUUAAAGGAAUUGACGGAAGGGCACCACCAGGAGUGGAGCCUGCGGCUUAAUUUGACUCAACACGGGAAACCUCACCAGGCCCGGACACCGGAAGGAUUGACAGAUUGAGAGCUCUUUCUUGAUUCGGUGGGUGGUGGUGCAUGGCCGUUCUUAGUUGGUGGAGCGAUUUGUCUGGUUAAUUCCGAUAACGAACGAGACUCUAGCCUGCUAACUAGGCGUAUUUUCGACAUCUCAAAGGUCCGUCGUCCCGGCCCUCGGGUCGUCGGCGUGCGCGAUUUUUACUGUCGGCGUACUAUCAAUUCUUCUUAGAGGGACAGGUGGCUUCUAGCCGCACGAGAUUGAGCAAUAACAGGUCUGUGAUG